GAGUUUGAUCCUGGCUCAGAUUGAACGCUGGCGGCAUGCCUUACACAUGCAAGUCGAACGGCAGCACGGGAGCUUGCUCCUGGUGGCGAGUGGCGAACGGGUGAGUAAUGCAUCGGAACGUAUCCUGGAGUGGGGGAUAACGUAGCGAAAGUUACGCUAAUACCGCAUAUUCUGUGAGCAGGAAAGCGGGGGACCUUCGGGCCUCGCGCUCUUGGAGCGGCCGAUGUCGGAUUAGCUAGUUGGUGAGGUAAAGGCUCACCAAGGCGACGAUCCGUAGCAGGUCUGAGAGGAUGAUCUGCCACACUGGAACUGAGACACGGUCCAGACUCCUACGGGAGGCAGCAGUGGGGAAUUUUGGACAAUGGGGGCAGCCCUGAUCCAGCCAUGCCGCGUGAGUGAAGAAGGCC
This 407-nucleotide ribosomal RNA is filed under the name bacterium enrichment culture clone ALO1_GLFRUDD03FJ5PN. RNAcentral describes it as "bacterial SSU rRNA". It matches the Rfam family "Bacterial small subunit ribosomal RNA", at positions 9 to 416 of the family's 1533-position model. The record is from RNAcentral.